Molecule: microRNA precursor, 109 nt
Filed under: Choloepus hoffmanni (Hoffmann's two-fingered sloth)
Lineage: Eukaryota; Metazoa; Chordata; Mammalia; Pilosa; Megalonychidae
Description: miRNA (ENSCHOG00000014858.1)
Source: RNAcentral
UACUACAACAGCUAACAAUUUUUUUUUUAACAUAUGUAUGUCCUAUAUUAUAUUUGGGACAUACUUAUAGUAAAAAAAAAAUAAAUCAUUGUUUAUCUGAAAUUCAAAA